AUCUAGCCGAGAAGCCCCUAUUGGAGACUUUUCUGCUAAAGACAACCUGUCUAGGAGAUCAGCAGCUGGUGGAACAAUGACCAGCCAACUUUAUGAGACUGUUCAAGGCUACAGGGCCAGUAGAGCAGCAUCCAGCAGAGGCUCAUGGGGAGCAAGACAAAAGGAGCAGCAUAGGAACCUCACUGAACGCUGUACUGGGGGCAUGAGUUGUCUUUCCAGCUACACUGCUGCAAGUAGAAUCUUCAUAGAGCUUUGUGUUGCAGGAAUGAAUAAUGAAGGCAUCAGGGUCCUGGUGUUUCAAUGAAGUCGUGAGGAAGUAUGGAUUACAAGAGACAAAUCUUCUUUGCUUCAAUGCACUGAAACCUGGGUCAUCAUCAGUCAUCUUGAUGCAUUUGAACGACUCUGGAAGAGGGACUGAAGCCAACUACUACUGUGCAACUCUGCCUCAGUUAAAUACAAUUGCGGUGCAAGUCAUCACCCUUAUGAUGUCAUUGGUUUUCUUUGAAAAUGAAGGACAACAAUAACAAAGGCCCUUUCCCCCUCCCUUUUACCAACCCUUUCCGUUUUAACUACCCAGGGGUAAAUAAAAUUGGUCUAACC
RNAcentral lists this long non-coding RNA (600 nucleotides) under Monodelphis domestica (gray short-tailed opossum). RNAcentral's name for it is "lncRNA (ENSMODG00000035402.2)". Lineage: Eukaryota; Metazoa; Chordata; Mammalia; Didelphimorphia; Didelphidae. The record is from RNAcentral.